RNAcentral lists this transfer RNA (76 nucleotides) under Alphaproteobacteria bacterium. RNAcentral's name for it is "tRNA-Glu". It matches the Rfam family "tRNA". Rfam says of the family: Transfer RNA (tRNA) molecules are approximately 80 nucleotides in length. Their secondary structure includes four short double-helical elements and three loops (D, anti-codon, and T loops). Further hydrogen bonds mediate the characteristic L-shaped molecular structure. tRNAs have two regions of fundamental functional importance: the anti-codon, which is responsible for specific mRNA codon recognition, and the 3' end, to which the tRNAs corresponding amino acid is attached (by aminoacyl-tRNA synthetases). tRNAs cope with the degeneracy of the genetic code in two manners: having more than one tRNA (with a specific anti-codon) for a particular amino acid; and 'wobble' base-pairing, i.e. permitting non-standard base-pairing at the 3rd anti-codon position. The record is from RNAcentral. Lineage: Bacteria; Pseudomonadati; Pseudomonadota; Alphaproteobacteria.
GUCCCCAUCGUCUAGAGGCCUAGGACGCCACCCUUUCACGGUGGAAACAGGGGUUCGACUCCCCUUGGGGAUACCA